RNAcentral lists this ribosomal RNA (253 nucleotides) under uncultured bacterium. RNAcentral describes it as "partial 16S ribosomal RNA". It matches the Rfam family "Bacterial small subunit ribosomal RNA", at positions 524 to 776 of the family's 1533-position model. The record is from RNAcentral.
UACGGGGGGGGCAAGCGUUGUUCGGAAUUACUGGGCGUAAAGGGCUCGCAGGCGGCCGACUAAGUCAGACGUGAAAUCCCUUGGCUUAACCAAGGAAUGGCGUCUGAUACUGGACGGCUUGAAUUCGGGAGAGGGAUGUGGAAUUCCAGGUGUAGCGGUGAAAUGCGUAGAUAUCUGGAGGAACACCGGUGGCGAAGGCGGCAUCCUGGACCGAUAUUGACGCUGAGGAGCGAAAGCGUGGGGAGCGAACAGG